GAUCAUGGCUCAGAUUGAACGCUGGCGGCAGGCCUAACACAUGCAAGUCGAACGGUAACAGGAAGCAGCUUGCUGCUUUGCUGACGAGUGGCGGACGGGUGAGUAAUGUCUGGGAAACUGCCCGAUGGAGGGGGGAUAACUACUGGAAACGGUAGCUAAUACCGCAUAACGUCGCAAGACCAAAAGAGGGGGGACCUUAGGGCCUCUUGCCCUCGGAUGUGCCCAGAUGGGAUUAGCUAGUAGGU
RNAcentral lists this ribosomal RNA (245 nucleotides) under uncultured bacterium. Its description in RNAcentral is "partial 16S ribosomal RNA". It matches the Rfam family "Bacterial small subunit ribosomal RNA", at positions 15 to 253 of the family's 1533-position model. The record is from RNAcentral.